GAUGAACGCUGGCGGCGUGCCUAAUACAUGCAAGUCGAGCGAACAGACGAGGAGCUUGCUCCUCUGACGUUAGCGGCGGACGGGUGAGUAACACGUGGAUAACCUACCUAUAAGACUGGGAUAACUUCGGGAAACCGGAGCUAAUACCGGAUAAUAUAUUGAAACGCAUGGUUCCAUAGUGAAAGACGGUUUUGCUGUCACUUAUAGAUGGAUCCGCGCCGCAUUAGCUAGUUGGUAAGGUAACGGCUUACCAAGGCAACGAUGCGUAGCCGACCUGAGAGGGUGUUCCGACAUACAGUAUGUGCGACGCGCAGCAGAUUCCUACGGGAGGCAGGGAUAGAGAAAUAGCCGCAAUGGUCGAGAGCGUGAGGAAGCAACGUCGCGUGGGUGAUGAUGGUCUUCGGAGCGUAAGACGUUGUUAAUAUGGAAGUAUUAAUGUGUAAGGAACUAUGCACAUCUCUACGGCACCUAAUCAGAAGGCCACGGCUAACUACGUG
RNAcentral lists this ribosomal RNA (497 nucleotides) under uncultured bacterium. RNAcentral's name for it is "partial 16S ribosomal RNA". It matches the Rfam family "Bacterial small subunit ribosomal RNA", at positions 28 to 507 of the family's 1533-position model. The record is from RNAcentral.